AGAGUUUGAUCCUGGCUCAGGACGAACGCUGGCGGCGUGCCUAACACAUGCAAGUCGAGCGAGGGGAGUUCUUCGGAACGAACCUAGCGGCGGACGGGUGAGUAACACGUGGGUAACCUGCCUCAAAGAGGGGGAUAGCCUUCCGAAAGGAAGAUUAAUACCGCAUAAUCCAUUGUUUCCGCAUGGGGAUGAUGGUAAAGAUUUAUCGCUUUGAGAUGGACCCGCGGCGCAUUAGCUAGUUGGUGAGGUAAUGGCUCACCAAGGCGACGAUGCGUAGCCGACCUGAGAGGGUGAUCGGCCACAUUGGAACUGAGACACGGUCCAGACUCCUACGGGAGGCAGCAGUGGGGAAUAUUGCACAAUGGGCGCAAGCCUGAUGCAGCAACGCCGCGUGAGUGAUGAAGGUCUUCGGAUUGUAAAGCUCUGUCUUUUGGGACGAUAAUGACGGUACCAAAGGAGGAAGCCACGGCUAACUACGUGCCAGCAGCCGCGGUAAUACGUAGGUGGCAAGCGUUGUCCGGAUUUACUGGGCGUAAAGGGUGCGUAGGUGGAUAUUUAAGUCAGAUGUGAAACCCCUGGGCUCAACUCAGGGACUGCAUUUGAAACUGGAUAUCUGGAGUGCAGGAGAGGUAAGUGGAAUUCCUAGUGUAGCGGUGAAAUGCGUAGAGAUUAGGAAGAACACCAGUGGCGAAGGCGACUUACUGGACUGUAACUGACACUGAGGCACGAAAGCGUGGGUAGCAAACAGGAUUAGAUACCCUGGUAGUCCACGCCGUAAACGAUGAGUACUAGGUGUAGGGGGUAUCGACUCCCUCUGUGCCGCAGUUAACACAAUAAGUACUCCGCCUGGGAAGUACGAUCGCAAGAUUAAAACUCAAAGGAAUUGACGG
Molecule: ribosomal RNA, 890 nt
Filed under: uncultured bacterium
Lineage: Bacteria
Description: bacterial SSU rRNA
Rfam family: Bacterial small subunit ribosomal RNA
Source: RNAcentral